GAAACCUCCCCGGGUCCAGGAACAGAGUGGUUCCGAUGUGGAAACCAGACCCAGUUGGGGCUGAAAUGUGCCCGGGUCGGAGUGGUUCCUCCUUAGAAACCAGACCGAAUCCGACCUAAGCUGGGCUGGGUCCAGUGUGAGGCCCAGGUCAAUAACAUUUUGCUUUAAGGCUGAACAGGGUUAACUUUACCAAAGAUAAUCUUGAAUUAUGGAGACCACUACGGAGAACUUUUAACCAUUUUAGAUAAGCUUAUCCAUUUAGGAGGUGCCCUGGAGAUAAAGGUGUCUUGGCCAGGCACUCUCCGUAAAGGGUAGAGGGAAAACUACUUUUCUUCUUCCAGAGUGUCUGGUGCCCCAGAGCAGAUCUCCUGGGACAUCAACUGGCUCUGGAGCCUGCACGUGGGAUCCUUGGAGAACUGGCAGAAGCCAGCAAAGGCGUUUCUGGAACUUACCAGAUGAGUAAGGAAAGUCACUUCCUGGAAGGCACGGGAACCUCAGGAUAUUUGGGGACUUCGAGAAGAGAGGAAUUCACCCAAAUCUGUCUUAAAUUCAUGGUCACAGCCAUAAGAUGGUCUCACUGCACUUGGAGAAACAGAAACAAGAUGAACAAUGAGGUGAACAGCAAAGACAAUUCUUCUAGGGAUCUAACAUUAUAACCUGUGAGGAGCACAAUGAGACAAGAGCAGCUGAACUUUGAUGGUAGCUGAGAGUGAUGCUAACAGUAAGUUUUUGGUUAAUCUCUCACAUAGGAGAGGAUGACCAGAAGGAGGAA
Molecule: long non-coding RNA, 772 nt
Organism: Neofelis nebulosa (Clouded leopard)
Lineage: Eukaryota; Metazoa; Chordata; Mammalia; Carnivora; Felidae
Exons: 3
Source: RefSeq, a predicted model, not a curated record